This 85-nucleotide transfer RNA is filed under the name Felis catus (domestic cat). It matches the Rfam family "tRNA". Rfam says of the family: Transfer RNA (tRNA) molecules are approximately 80 nucleotides in length. Their secondary structure includes four short double-helical elements and three loops (D, anti-codon, and T loops). The record is from Rfam by way of RNAcentral. Lineage: Eukaryota; Metazoa; Chordata; Mammalia; Carnivora; Felidae. RNAcentral also lists the same sequence under 1 other name.
GCCUGGGUGGCUCAGUCGGUUGAGCGUCCGACUUUGGCUCAGGUCAUGAUUUCACAGUUUGUGAGUUCGAGCCCCACAUCGGGCC